This 467-nucleotide ribosomal RNA is filed under the name uncultured bacterium. Its description in RNAcentral is "bacterial SSU rRNA". It matches the Rfam family "Bacterial small subunit ribosomal RNA", at positions 21 to 518 of the family's 1533-position model. The record is from RNAcentral.
GGUUCAGAACGAACGCUGGCGGCAGGCUUAACACAUGCAAGUCGAACGGAACAUAGGUAGCUUGCUAUCUAUGUCAGUGGCGCACGGGUGAGUAACGCGUAGGAACCUGUCUUUUUAGCCUGGGAUAGCCUCUGGAAACGGAGGGUAAAACCGGAUGAGCCCUGAGGGGGAAAUGAGCAAUCAGCUGGAAGAGGGGCCUGCGUUAGAUUAGGCAGUUGGUGGGGUAAUGGCCUACCAACCGACGAUCUAUAGCUGGUCUGAGAGGAUGAUCAGCCACAUUGGGACUGAGACACGGCCCAAACUCCUACGGGAGGCAGCAGUGGGGAAUAUUGGACAAUGGGGGAGACCCUGAUCCAGCCAAUGCCGCGUGAGUGAAGACGGCCUUCGGGUUGUAAAGCUCUUUUACAUGGGAAGAUGAUGACGGUACCAUGAGAAUAAGCACCGGCAAACUUCGUGCCAGCCGCAGC